UACCCGCGGCAAGACGGAAAGACCCCGUGAACCUUUACUAUAGCUUGACACUGAACAUGGAGCCUUGAUGUGUAGGAUAGGUGGGAGGCAGUGAAUCGUGGACGCCAGUCUGCGAGGAGCCACCCUUGAAAUACCACCCUUUAAUGUUUGAUGUUCUAACUUUGCCCCGUGACCCGGGGUGAGGACAGUGUCUGGUGGGUAGUUUGACUGGGGCGGUCUCCUCCCAAAGAGUAACGGAGGAGCACGAAGGUUGGCUAAGUACGGUCGGACAUCGUACGGUUAGUGCAAUGGCAGAAGCCAGCUUAACUGCGAGACAGACACGUCGAGCAGAUACGAAAGUAGGUCAUAGUGAUCCGGUGGUUCUGAAUGGAAGGGCCAUCGCUCAACGGAUAAAAGGUACUCCGGGGAUAACAGGCUGAUACCGCCCAAGAGUUCAUAUCGACGGCGGUGUUUGGCACCUCGAUGUCGGCUCAUCACAUCCUGGGGCUGAAGUAGGUCCCAAGGGUAUGGCUGUUCGCCAUUUAAAGUGGUACGCGAGCUGGGUUUAGAACGUCGUGAGACAGUUCGGUCCCUAUCUGCCGUGGGCGUAGGAAGAUUGAGGAGGGCUACUUCUAGUACGAGAGGACCGAAGUGGACGUAUCACUGGUGUUCGGGUUGUCAUGCCAAUGGCAUUGCCCGGUAGCUAAAUACGGAAAAGAUAAGUGCUGAAAGCAUAUAAGCACGAAACUUGCUCCAAGAUUAAUCUUCCCUGAAACAGAAAUGUUUACUGAAGGGACGUUGAAGACUACAACGUUGAUAGGCUAGAUGUGUAAGCAUAGUGAUGUGUUGAGCUAACUAGUACUAAUGACCCAAGAGGCUUAACCUU
This 865-nucleotide ribosomal RNA is filed under the name Buchnera aphidicola. RNAcentral's name for it is "partial 23S ribosomal RNA". It matches the Rfam family "Bacterial large subunit ribosomal RNA", at positions 2067 to 2925 of the family's 2925-position model. The record is from RNAcentral. Lineage: Bacteria; Pseudomonadati; Pseudomonadota; Gammaproteobacteria; Enterobacterales; Erwiniaceae.